RNAcentral lists this ribosomal RNA (253 nucleotides) under uncultured bacterium. Its description in RNAcentral is "partial 16S ribosomal RNA". It matches the Rfam family "Bacterial small subunit ribosomal RNA", at positions 524 to 776 of the family's 1533-position model. The record is from RNAcentral.
UACGUAGGGGGCAAGCGUUGUCCGGAAUCAUUGGGCGUAAAGAGCGCGUAGGCGGCCCUGUAAGUCCGCUGUGAAAGUCAAGGGCUCAACCCUUGAAUGCCGGUGGAUACUGCAGGGCUAGAGUCCGGAAGAGGCGAGUGGAAUUCCUGGUGUAGCGGUGAAAUGCGCAGAUAUCAGGAGGAACACCGAUGGCGAAGGCAGCUCGCUGGGACGGUACUGACGCUGAGGCGCGAAGGCUAGGGGAGCAAAAGGG